RNAcentral lists this RNase P RNA (385 nucleotides) under Acidobacteriota bacterium. RNAcentral's name for it is "Acidobacteria bacterium RNase P RNA component class A". It matches the Rfam family "Bacterial RNase P class A". Rfam says of the family: Ribonuclease P (RNase P) is a ubiquitous endoribonuclease, found in archaea, bacteria and eukarya as well as chloroplasts and mitochondria. Lineage: Bacteria; Pseudomonadati; Acidobacteriota. The record is from RNAcentral.
CUGAAAGGUACCGGUAAUCGCUCCCGGAAACUCCGGGAGAGGAAAGUCCGAACACCGUAGAGCAUCGAGCCGGCUAACGGCCGGGCGCCUGCUUCGGCAGGUGACGACAAGUGCAACAGAAAGCAGUCCAGCCGAAAGGUAAUGGGUGAAAUGGUGGGGUAAGAGCUCACCGGCGCGUGUGGUGACAUGCGCGGCCAGGCAAACUCCUCGAGGUGCAAGACCAAAUAGGGAAACGAAACCGGGCUGCUCGUCCGGGUUCCUGGAGCGAUCCGGGAGGCGUUUUCGGGUAGGUCGCAAGAGCCGUCUGGCAACAGCCGGCCCAGAUGAAUGAUUACCGCCCGGCUCGUACGGGUAACAGAAUUCGGCUUAUGGUCCUUUCCGGCGC